This 484-nucleotide ribosomal RNA is filed under the name uncultured bacterium. RNAcentral describes it as "partial 16S ribosomal RNA". It matches the Rfam family "Bacterial small subunit ribosomal RNA", at positions 28 to 507 of the family's 1533-position model. The record is from RNAcentral.
AUUGAACGCUGGCGGCAUGCUUUACACAUGCAAGUCGAACGGCAGCGCGGGCUUCGGCCUGGCGGCGAGUGGCGAACGGGUGAGUAAUGCAUCGGAACGUGCCCAGUAGUGGGGGAUAGCCCGGCGAAAGCCGGAUUAAUACCGCAUACGACCUGAGGGUGAAAGCGGGGGACCGAAAGGCCUCGCGCUAUUGGAGCGGCCGAUGUCGGAUUAGCUAGUUGGUGGGGUAAAGGCUUACCAAGGCGUCGAUCCGUAGCUGGUCUGAGAGGACGACCAGCCACACUGGGACUGAGACACGGCCCAGACUCCUACGGGAGGCAGCAGUGGGGAAUUUUGGACAAUGGGGGCAACCCUGAUCCAGCCAUGCCGCGUGAGGGAAGAAGGCCUUCGGGUUGUAAACCGCUUUUGUUCGGGAAGAAAUCCUCUGGGCUAAUACCCCGGGGGGAUGACGGUACCGGAAGAAUAAGCACCGGCUAACUACGUG